This 24-nucleotide non-coding RNA is filed under the name Mus musculus (house mouse). The record is from RNAcentral. Lineage: Eukaryota; Metazoa; Chordata; Mammalia; Rodentia; Muridae.
UAGGAGUCUCACAAAAACCCCAAG